RNAcentral lists this long non-coding RNA (1278 nucleotides) under Nicotiana benthamiana. RNAcentral describes it as "long non-coding RNA (NBEN_LNC009910)". Lineage: Eukaryota; Viridiplantae; Streptophyta; Magnoliopsida; Solanales; Solanaceae. The record is from RNAcentral.
UAGAAGAGAUAAAGAACUAUGAUGUUUUAGGCGAUCUCUCACGCUUGUUCUUCUACUAAAAGUAAUCUCAAAAUUAAGCUUUUUUUUGUCUUGGGAGAGUUUCUACAUCUUAUAAGGGUUUAACCAAAAUUUUUCCCGAAUUGACACUUUGGCCCUUCAAAUUUCUGAAUUAUGAACAGUUCACCGCGGCUGCGGCGUGGAUCGUCGUCGACCGCGGUGAACUUCCUGGGCCGAUUUUUGUGUUUUGUUUCCGCGCUCUGGUCCGCUGUCCAACGCGGUCGCGGUGGACUUUUGUCCAGUCAUUUGUUUUGCUCUUUUGUGUUCGAGCACUUCUUGAGUGUGUGUUUUCUUCACAUUAUUGCCUCCUAACACUUCAUGUUGCUUCUUCACAAAUAAUAUUCCCUGCGAAACCAAUUAUCACCAUCUAAACCAUUUUAUUGGCAAAUUACCUUAUAAAACAACAAUAAAGCAUGGGAAACUAAGAUGUAUAACCUAUUAUCAACAACACACACUUAAAUUAUUGCUAGCCAUCGAGAAAUUCGCCACACUCCAUCAAAAUUCCUUCCCUAUGCUUUUCCCUCAACGACUCACACCAUGAAAUUACACCUAGUAGUGAGCAAACUUUAACCUCAAGAAUCAAAUCUUUCGUACCCCGUAACAUUUUCACUUACUCAAACCAACACAAGAGUCAAGACGUACCUUUACUUUGUGAAUCGCAUGCCCCCACAUCACACAAGAGAGUAAUUUCAUAUAUAAUGAUAGUGAUAACAAUUAGAACUAAAAUAGACAGAAUUUGCUCACUCUCCAAAAAGAACAUUCACAUGCUACAACAAUGCACCAUAAGCUUGCCCGUAGUGUAGUACUCGACUAAUCGAGCUCAUUCAAUCUCGAAUCAAUCAGAACUUUAUUUAAUUGUAAUGUAGGAUACGGGACGGGUAGGAUACAUUUAGAUAUAAGAGUGACUACACCUUCCUAAGCACUUUAAUACAUAUAUUUUAACAUUCAAACCCCAUACUUAUGUCAAACAAAAAUUCCACCUUCACAUCAAUAUGAAUUACCCAAUUCUUCUUUAAGCACACUUACUUCAAGAGCCACCACUCAUUAAGGAAAUCUUAUUAUAUUUUUUUUCUUUCAAUUAAAGUGGCUCUUCCUUUUCCAAAACAGUGCACCUUUCUCCUUAUUCAAUUAUUUCCACUCAAAAUCCAAAUUAACCACCCCACACUUUAACUUUUACAAAGUUCAUAACAAUUCGAGUGCUCUUGAGAGGUGAAAAGGUUC